GGUUGUAGCUCAGUGGUAGAGCACUUGCCUAGCAUGUGUGAAGCACUGGGUUCAAUCCUCAGCACCA
RNAcentral lists this transfer RNA (67 nucleotides) under Marmota monax (woodchuck). RNAcentral describes it as "tRNA.Ala". It matches the Rfam family "tRNA". Rfam says of the family: Transfer RNA (tRNA) molecules are approximately 80 nucleotides in length. Their secondary structure includes four short double-helical elements and three loops (D, anti-codon, and T loops). The record is from RNAcentral. Lineage: Eukaryota; Metazoa; Chordata; Mammalia; Rodentia; Sciuridae.